GUGGCAGCAGCUGAGUGGUUGAGCUCUCGCUUUGUACGCGGGAAGACCUGGGUUCGAUUCUUGGCUGCCUUC
Molecule: transfer RNA, 72 nt
Filed under: Toxocara canis (dog roundworm)
Lineage: Eukaryota; Metazoa; Nematoda; Chromadorea; Rhabditida; Toxocaridae
Rfam family: tRNA
About the family: Transfer RNA (tRNA) molecules are approximately 80 nucleotides in length. Their secondary structure includes four short double-helical elements and three loops (D, anti-codon, and T loops). Further hydrogen bonds mediate the characteristic L-shaped molecular structure. tRNAs have two regions of fundamental functional importance: the anti-codon, which is responsible for specific mRNA codon recognition, and the 3' end, to which the tRNAs corresponding amino acid is attached (by aminoacyl-tRNA synthetases). tRNAs cope with the degeneracy of the genetic code in two manners: having more than one tRNA (with a specific anti-codon) for a particular amino acid; and 'wobble' base-pairing, i.e. permitting non-standard base-pairing at the 3rd anti-codon position.
Source: Rfam by way of RNAcentral